CACGUAGGGUGCAAGCGUUAAUCGGAAUUACUGGGCGUAAAGCGUGCGCAGGCGGUUCGUGAUGUCUGGUGUGAAAGCCCCGGGCUUAACCUGGGAAUUGCAUUGGAAACUACCUGGCUCGAGGCCGGGAGGGGGUAGCGGAAUUCCCAGUGUAGCGGUGAAAUGCGUAGAUAUUGGGAGGAACACCGGUGGCGAAGGCGGCUACCUGGACCGGUUCUGACGCUGAUGCGCGAAAGCGUGGGGAGCAAACAGG
This 253-nucleotide ribosomal RNA is filed under the name uncultured bacterium. RNAcentral describes it as "partial 16S ribosomal RNA". It matches the Rfam family "Bacterial small subunit ribosomal RNA", at positions 524 to 776 of the family's 1533-position model. The record is from RNAcentral.